GAUUAUUGGGCGUAAGGGCUCGCAGGCGGUUUCUUAAGUCUGAUGUGAAAGCCCCCGGCUCAACCGGGGAGGGUCAUUGGAAACUGGGAAACUUGAGUGCAGAAGAGGAGAGUGGAAUUCCACGUGUAGCGGUGAAAUGCGUAGAGAUGUGGAGGAACACCAGUGGCGAAGGCGACUCUCUGGUCUGUAACUGACGCUGAGGAGCGAAAGCGUGGGGAGCGAACAGGAUUAGAUACCCUGGUAGUCCACGCCGUAAACGAUGAGUGCUAAGUGUUAGGGGGUUUCCGCCCCUUAGUGCUGCAGCUAACGCAUUAAGCACUCCGCCUGGGGAGUACGGUCGCAAGACUGAAACUCAAAGGAAUUGACGGGGGCCCGCACAAGCGGUGGAGCAUGUGGUUUAAUUCGAAGCAACGCGAAGAACCUUACCAGGUCUUGACAUCCUCUGACAACGCUAGAGAUAGGGCUUUCCCUUCGGGGACAGAGUGACAGGUGGUGCAUGGUUGUCGUCAGCUCGUGUCGUGAGAUGUUGGGUUAAGUCCCGCAACGAGCGCAACCCUUGAUCUUAGUUGCCAGCAUUCAGUUGGGCACUCUAAGGUGACUGCCGGUGACAA
This 611-nucleotide ribosomal RNA is filed under the name Bacillus pumilus. Its description in RNAcentral is "bacterial SSU rRNA". It matches the Rfam family "Bacterial small subunit ribosomal RNA", at positions 547 to 1161 of the family's 1533-position model. Lineage: Bacteria; Bacillati; Bacillota; Bacilli; Caryophanales; Bacillaceae. The record is from RNAcentral.